AGGGUACUAACCUCUCUUAAGUGAGUGAGUAAGACUUUAAUUCUAACAAGCUUCUCUUACAAGUUUUUGAAAUAGCUUCUUCGGCCCUGUCAACCUUCUCCUCGAUCAUGUCUAUAUAUACACCUUGCCGCAGCUCAAGGAAACGACAUCUCAGGCUUCGGUCCACACAAGUCUCUCAUCUCAUUCCCUCGUUCUUUGCAUCUUGCUCUUGUUGAUCAUUGUUUGGGUUCCAACCCAUAUCACUUCCCACACUGCCGUCAUCAAUUACGCAUGGAUCAUGAGAUAAAAGAGCCACCACCUCUCUCAUCCACACUCUGUUCUCAACCCUCUCAAUUCAGUCAAAACACUCAAGAAACUUAUCCCCGUUACUUCCAACAAGACUUGAACGAAAGAAAGAAAAAAGGCACGUGCUUCACGUGCGGCCAGAAGGAUCACUGGUACCGGGAGUGUCCCUUCAAAUCCUCUAAUAACGAUUCCCAAAAUGCCAACAGCAUAUGGUGCCGCUGUGGCCAUGGCCGUUGCGAAAAGAGAACCUCAAAGAGUGAGAAAAACCCCGGCAGGAUGUACUACGUUUGCCCCAUCAAAAGGGGGGAAAAAUGUACUAACGGUUUUGUUAAAUGGUGCGAUGAUCCCGAUGUCGAGAGUGAUUGGUCGCAGCCUCCGCCGUUUAAGUAUCCUGAGUGUAAGUGUCCUGCUGGAGUGUGUAAAAGGGAGAAGGCAACACAUAAUGGCGUUGUUAAAUACUAUUUUACUUGCCCCGUUAAAGAGGGCCAUGGAAAUUGCGGUUACAAGGUAUGGGAGGAUGAGCUGCUACAUAAAAGAACUAAUGAUCAAGAUGACCAUGACUUCGAUGAGGGUGUUAAUUUGGCAGUAAAUCAUUCCAAAAAGAUGAGAAUCAUGGACAGUUCCGAGGAGGAUCCAACACCAAUGGCUGUAUCCGAGGCUGAGCUUUCACAGAGUGAAGAUGAAGCACUCGAGAAAGCAUCGCAGCUAUCUUGCCUAUCAGAAUCAACACCUUCAAGGAUCGGUGGGGAUCGACAGCAUGUGUUUCCAAGGCACAUUUUUGCUGGUGCUGGUGCUGGCGCUGGCGCUGAUCCAUCAUUUGAGAUGAGUGCUUCUAGUCCUAGUCAAGCUAAAGAACAAGAUGAUGAUACCAAACCUUUAUGGACCUAUGUUACAAAGAUAAAAAGUGUAGGUGGUGGUGGAAAUUAUGAGAUAAAAUGCAAUAUUUGUGAUUUUACCUUUAAUGGAUCUUACACUAGAGUGAGGGCACACUUGUUGAAGAUGACUGGAAAGGGAGUUAGAGUUUGUCAAAAGGUAACAAUUGACAGACUUAUAGAUUUGAAGAAGAUAGACAAUGAGGCAACAUUAAGGGUGGAGAAGUCAAAAACAAAAUCUGUAUCAUUGCCUCCAAUUUCUACUCAACACCAAAUGGAUACAAACACUCUUGGUGUUGAUCCAAAAAAGAAAAAGACAUCAACUAUAGAAAACGCCUUUAAUUUGCAAGCUAGAGAGACACUUGAUCAUGAAAUUGCUAGGAUGUUUUACUCUUCGGGGCUGCCUUUUCAUUUAGCAAGAAAUCCUCAUUAUAGGAAGGCGUUUGCCUAUGCCGCCAACAAUCAGAUCAGUGGUUACCAACCUCCAGGUUAUAAUAAAUUAAGGACAACAUUACUUCAAAAUGAGAGGAGACAUGUGGAGAACUUGUUACAACCAAUUAAAAAUGCAUGGAGCCAGAAGGGUGUGAGCAUUGUUAGUGAUGGAUGGAGUGACCCGCAAAGAAGAUCUCUUAUUAAUUUCAUGGCUGUCACAGAGAGUGGACCUAUGUUUUUAAAGGCCAUCGAUUGUUCAAAUGAGAUCAAAGACAAGGAUUUCAUUGCCAAACUUAUGAGGGAGGUAAUUAUGGAGGUUGGUCACUCAAAUGUUGUGCAAAUAGUGACGGAUAAUGCAGCUGUUUGUAAAGCAGCAAGUUUAAUAAUUGAGGCUGAGUUUCCUUCCAUCUAUUGGACUCCAUGUGUUGUCCACACAUUAAAUCUUGCUUUGAAGAACAUAUGUGCAGCCAAGAAUACAGAAAAAAACAAUUUUAUUUAUGAAGAAUGUUCUUGAAUCACCCAAAUUGCGGAUGAUGCAAUGUUUGUGAAAAAUUUUGUCACGAGUCACUCUAUGAGACUAUCAAUUUUCAAUUCAUUCAAUUCAUUGAAAUUACUAUCCAUUGCUCCAACAAGAUUUGCCUCCACUAUUGUAAUGCUUAAGAGAUUCAAGCAAUUGAAGAAAGGACUCCAAGAGAUGGUCAUUAGUGACCAAUGGUCUUCUUAUAAGGAAGAUGAUGUUGCAAAGGCUAAAUUUGUAAAAGAUACUUUGUUGGAUGAUAAAUGGUGGGAUAAGGUUGAUUAUAUUCUUUCUUUCACUAGCCCUAUCUAUGAUGUUCUUAGAAGAACUGAUACAGAAGCUUCAUCUCUCCAUCUAGUAUAUGAAAUGUGGGAUUCAAUGAUUGAAAAGGUAAAGAAUGCCAUAUAUCAAUAUGAGAGGAAGGAGGAGAGUGAAGGAUCAACCUUUUAUGAGGUAGUGCACUCCAUAUUAAUUGACCGUUGGACUAAGAGUAGCACUCCUCUCCAUUGUUUAGCUCAUUCCUUAAAUCCAAGAUAUUAUAGUCAUGAAUGGCUAAGUGAAGAUUCUAAUCGAGUUCCUCCACAUCAAGACUUGGAACUCACUCGUGAAAGAUUAAAAUGCUUCAAGAGGUUCUUUCUUGAUAUGGAUGUAAGGAGGAAAGUGAAUAUUGAGUUUGCCAACUUCUCGGAUGGAAGAGAAGGUUUUGAUGAUCUUAAUUCUUUAAAUGAUAGAGGUCAAAUGGAUCCAAAAGCUUGGUGGCUAGUUCAUGGCAUUAAUGCUCCAAUACUUCAAAAGGUUGCCCUUAAGCUACUUGCGCAACCUUGUUCAUCUUCAUGUUGUGAAAGGAAUUGGAGUACAUAUUCAUUCAUCCAUUCUUUAAAGAGAAACAAGAUGGCACCACAUAGAGCUGAAGAUUUAGUAUUUGUUCAUAGCAACUUACGACUUCUCUCAAGGAAUACUCCACAAUAUCAUCAAGAGGAAACUAAAAUGUGGGAUGUAGCCGGAGAUGAUUUUGGAUCACUUAAUGAUUGUGGUAUUCUUGAAAUUGCUAGUUUGUCUUUAGAUGAACCAGAGUUAGAAAGUGUCUUUUUCAAUGAUGAUUGCUAGUUUGUGGAAUUCUUGAAGACUUGAAGUUGCUAAUUCAUCAUCUUGCUUUAUAAUUGUUUUUUGUAAAGAAACAAAGCGUACAAAUUGUAUAAUGAGGUCUUUUAGUAUUUUUUUGUGACUCAUUAUCAUAGGAAAAGUUCUUUUUAGAUGAUGAUGAAUAUAUAAAUCUUGAUUUUUAAUUUAGA
Molecule: RNA transcript, 3398 nt
Organism: Glycine soja
Lineage: Eukaryota; Viridiplantae; Streptophyta; Magnoliopsida; Fabales; Fabaceae
Exons: 6
Source: RefSeq, a predicted model, not a curated record